Molecule: ribosomal RNA, 429 nt
Filed under: uncultured bacterium
Lineage: Bacteria
Description: bacterial SSU rRNA
Rfam family: Bacterial small subunit ribosomal RNA
Source: RNAcentral
GGACGGUACCUGACUAAGAAGCCCCGGCUAACUACGUGCCAGCAGCCGCGGUAAUACGUAGGGGGCAAGCGUUAUCCGGAUUUUACUGGGUGUAAAGGGGGCGCAGACGGCAGCGCAAGCCAGGAGUGAAAGCCCGGGGCCCAACCCCGGGACUGCUCUUGGAACUGCGCGGCUGGAGUGCAGGAGGGGCAGGCGGAAUUCCUGGUGUAGCGGUGAAAUGCGUAGAUAUCAGGAGGAACACCGGUGGCGAAGGCGGCCUGCUGGACUGCGACUGACGUUGAGGCCCGAAAGCGUGGGGAGCAAACAGGAUUAGAUACCCUGGUAGUCCACGCCGUAAACGAUGAUUACUAGGUGUCGGGGAGCAGAGACUGCCCGGUGCCGCAGCCAACGCAUUAAGUAAUCCACCUGGGGAGUACGUCCGCAAGGAUG